RNAcentral lists this ribosomal RNA (2824 nucleotides) under Salmonella enterica subsp. enterica serovar Enteritidis. Its description in RNAcentral is "partial 23S ribosomal RNA". It matches the Rfam family "Bacterial large subunit ribosomal RNA". Lineage: Bacteria; Pseudomonadati; Pseudomonadota; Gammaproteobacteria; Enterobacterales; Enterobacteriaceae. The record is from RNAcentral.
GGGUUGUGAGGUUAAGCGACUAAGCGUACACGGUGGAUGCCCUGGCAGUCAGAGGCGAUGAAGGGCGUGCUAAUCUGCGAUAAGCGCCGGUAAGGUGAUAUGAACCGUUAUAACCGGCGAUACCCGAAUGGGGAAACCCAGUGUGACUCGUCACACUAUCAUUAACUGAAUCCAUAGGUUAAUGAGGCGAACCGGGGGAACUGAAACAUCUAAGUACCCCGAGGAAAAGAAAUCAACCGAGAUUCCCCCAGUAGCGGCGAGCGAACGGGGAGGAGCCCAGAGCCUGAAUCAGCAUGUGUGUUAGUGGAAGCGUCUGGAAAGGCGCGCGAUACAGGGUGACAGCCCCGUACACAAAAGCGCAUGUGCUGUGAGCUCGAUGAGUAGGGCGGGACACGUGGUAUCCUGUCUGAAUAUGGGGGGACCAUCCUCCAAGGCUAAAUACUCCUGACUGACCGAUAGUGAACCAGUACCGUGAGGGAAAGGCGAAAAGAACCCCGGCGAGGGGAGUGAAAAAGAACCUGAAACCGUGUACGUACAAGCAGUGGGAGCACAGGUUUACCUGUGUGACUGCGUACCUUUUGUAUAAUGGGUCAGCGACUUAUAUUCUGUAGCAAGGUUAACCGAAUAGGGGAGCCGGAGGGAAACCGAGUCUUAAUUGGGCGUUAAGUUGCAGGGUAUAGACCCGAAACCCGGUGAUCUAGCCAUGGGCAGGUUGAAGGUUGGGUAACACUAACUGGAGGACCGAACCGACUAAUGUUGAAAAAUUAGCGGAUGACCUGUGGCUGGGGGUGAAAGGCCAAUCAAACCGGGAGAUAGCUGGUUCUCCCCGAAAGCUAUUUAGGUAGCGCCUCGUGAAUUCAUCUCCGGGGGUAGAGCACUGUUUCGGCUAGGGGGCCAUCCCGGCUUACCAACCCGAUGCAAACUGCGAAUACCGGAGAAUGUUAUCACGGGAGACACACGGCGGGUGCUAACGUCCGUCGUGAAGAGGGAAACAACCCAGACCGCCAGCUAAGGUCCCAAAGUCAUGGUUAAGUGGGAAACGAUGUGGGAAGGCCCAGACAGCCAGGAUGUUGGCUUAGAAGCAGCCAUCAUUUAAAGAAAGCGUAAUAGCUCACUGGUCGAGUCGGCCUGCGCGGAAGAUGUAACGGGGCUAAACCAUGCACCGAAGCUGCGGCAGCGACACUGUGUGUUGUUGGGUAGGGGAGCGUUCUGUAAGCCUGUGAAGGUGUGUCGUGAGGCAUGCUGGAGGUAUCAGAAGUGCGAAUGCUGACAUAAGUAACGAUAAAGCGGGUGAAAAGCCCGCUCGCCGGAAGACCAAGGGUUCCUGUCCAACGUUAAUCGGGGCAGGGUGAGUCGACCCCUAAGGCGAGGCCGAAAGGCGUAGUCGAUGGGAAACGGGUUAAUAUUCCCGUACUUGGUGUUACUGCGAAGGGGGGACGGAGAAGGCUAUGUUGGCCGGGCGACGGUUGUCCCGGUUUAAGCGUGUAGGUGUGUGUUCCAGGUAAAUCCGGUUCACUUUAACACUGAGGCGUGACGACGAGGCACUACGGUGCUGAAGCAACAAAUGCCCUGCUUCCAGGAAAAGCCUCUAAGCAUCAGGUAACAUCAAAUCGUACCCCAAACCGACACAGGUGGUCAGGUAGAGAAUACCAAGGCGCUUGAGAGAACUCGGGUGAAGGAACUAGGCAAAAUGGUGCCGUAACUUCGGGAGAAGGCACGCUGACACGUAGGUGAAGUGAUUUACUCAUGGAGCUGAAGUCAGUCGAAGAUACCAGCUGGCUGCAACUGUUUAUUAAAAACACAGCACUGUGCAAACACGAAAGUGGACGUAUACGGUGUGACGCCUGCCCGGUGCCGGAAGGUUAAUUGAUGGGGUCAGCGCAAGCGAAGCUCCUGAUCGAAGCCCCGGUAAACGGCGGCCGUAACUAUAACGGUCCUAAGGUAGCGAAAUUCCUUGUCGGGUAAGUUCCGACCUGCACGAAUGGCGUAAUGAUGGCCAGGCUGUCUCCACCCGAGACUCAGUGAAAUUGAACUCGCUGUGAAGAUGCAGUGUACCCGCGGCAAGACGGAAAGACCCCGUGAACCUUUACUAUAGCUUGACACUGAACAUUGAGCCUUGAUGUGUAGGAUAGGUGGGAGGCUUUGAAGUGUGGACGCCAGUCUGCAUGGAGCCGACCUUGAAAUACCACCCUUUAAUGUUUGAUGUUCUAACGUGGACCCGUUACCCGGGUUGCGGACAGUGUCUGGUGGGUAGUUUGACUGGGGCGGUCUCCUCCUAAAGAGUAACGGAGGAGCACGAAGGUUGGCUAAUCCUGGUCGGACAUCAGGAGGUUAGUGCAAUGGCAUAAGCCAGCUUGACUGCGAGCGUGACGGCGCGAGCAGGUGCGAAAGCAGGUCAUAGUGAUCCGGUGGUUCUGAAUGGAAGGGCCAUCGCUCAACGGAUAAAAGGUACUCCGGGGAUAACAGGCUGAUACCGCCCAAGAGUUCAUAUCGACGGCGGUGUUUGGCACCUCGAUGUCGGCUCAUCACAUCCUGGGGCUGAAGUAGGUCCCAAGGGUAUGGCUGUUCGCCAUUUAAAGUGGUACGCGAGCUGGGUUUAGAACGUCGUGAGACAGUUCGGUCCCUAUCUGCCGUGGGCGCUGGAGAACUGAGGGGGGCUGCUCCUAGUACGAGAGGACCGGAGUGGACGCAUCACUGGUGUUCGGGUUGUCAUGCCAAUGGCACUGCCCGGUAGCUAAAUGCGGAAGAGAUAAGUGCUGAAAGCAUCUAAGCACGAAACUUGCCCCGAGAUGAGUUCUCCCUGAGACUUAGAGUCUCCUGAAGG